This 500-nucleotide ribosomal RNA is filed under the name uncultured bacterium. Its description in RNAcentral is "bacterial SSU rRNA". It matches the Rfam family "Bacterial small subunit ribosomal RNA", at positions 8 to 489 of the family's 1533-position model. The record is from RNAcentral.
AGAGUUUGAUCAUGGCUCAGAUUGAACGCUGGCGGUAGGUUUCAAACAUGCAAGUCGAGCGGUAACAGACAUUUUGAUUCAGCUUGCUGAAUCUCGUGCUGACGAGCGGCGAACGGGUGAGUAACACGUAGGAAUCUACCCAGUAGCGGGGGAUAGCCCGAGGAAACUCGGAUUAAUACCGCAUAAUCCCUAAGGGGGAAAGGGGGCAUUUUUUGCUCUCACUAUUGGAUGAGCCUGCGUAAGAUUAGCUUGUUGGUAGGGUAAAGGCCUACCAAGGCAACGAUCUUUAGCUGGUCUGAGAGGACGAUCAGCCACAUUGGGACUGAGACACGGCCCAGACGUCUACGGACGGCAGCAGUUAAGAAUAUUGGACAAUGGGGGAAACCCUGAUCCAGCCAUACCGCGUGUGUGAAGAAGGCCUUAGGGUUGUAAAGCACUUUAAGCAACGAAGAAGAAAAAUAAAUUAAUACCUUAUUUUUUUGACAUUAAUUGCAGAAUAA